Molecule: transfer RNA, 66 nt
Filed under: Acanthaspis pedestris
Lineage: Eukaryota; Metazoa; Arthropoda; Insecta; Hemiptera; Reduviidae
Description: tRNA-Ser
Rfam family: tRNA
About the family: Transfer RNA (tRNA) molecules are approximately 80 nucleotides in length.
Source: RNAcentral
AGUUAAAUAGCUUAUAAUAAAGCAUAUAUUUUGAAAAUAUAAGAAAAGGGGAUACCCUUUUAACUU